Molecule: transfer RNA, 77 nt
Filed under: Candidatus Bathyarchaeota archaeon
Lineage: Archaea; Thermoproteati; Candidatus Bathyarchaeota
Also listed under: 1 other name
Description: tRNA-Val
Rfam family: tRNA
About the family: Transfer RNA (tRNA) molecules are approximately 80 nucleotides in length. Their secondary structure includes four short double-helical elements and three loops (D, anti-codon, and T loops).
Source: RNAcentral
GGGCCGAUGGUCUAGCUGGUUAGGACACCGCCCUCACGCGGCGGGGGUCGCCGGUUCAAAUCCGGCUCGGCCCACCA